Long non-coding RNA from Ostrinia nubilalis (European corn borer), 2802 nucleotides. RefSeq lists it as uncharacterized. The transcript has 2 exons. The record is from RefSeq and is a predicted model, not a curated record. Lineage: Eukaryota; Metazoa; Arthropoda; Insecta; Lepidoptera; Crambidae.
AUUAUAAUGGUCGUUACAAAAAUACAAAAUGCAUUGUUUAAAAUCUCAUUAUUACACUACAAAGUCUUUUUAUUUGCACCAAGUUAUUAAAAAUAAUUAUAAUUAAUUUUAAACUUCGUCUUCAGUACAAAACUCGAAGGCAACUGAAAAAAUUGACAUAAUACAGGGUAGAAACGUUAAGUGAUCUCACUCGAUUAUCUCUAAACUAUAAAAGAAAUGGAAAAACUAGUUACUGAUCCUGAAAGUGCUUCACGAGCUCGAUCAAACGGUAUCAAUAAUAGGUUACAGAAUAAACUGGAUCUAUCCAAAAAUUCUGUUUCCAGCUUAGUUAGUGCAUGAAGGAUGCUACUUCGAUUAAUAUUAGAAGUGUUAAAUUUUUUAAUUUAACUUAUAAUAAACUCAGUAACCAGUUUUUCGAUAUCUUGUACAGUUUAAUAAUCGAGUGAGAUCACUUAUCGAUCCAUCCUGUAUAGCAGCAGAUCGGACGUAACUCAUUGACUUAAAAUCAUCUUAUUACGCAAAAAAUAAGUGUCUUUUACAAAACAACUGCUACGUUAGACAUACCGUCGGUAGUAAAUUUUAAUACCUAUUGAAGACUAUAAAUCAUCGUUUCAUCCACUCGGACGCGCCCCACCAUUCUUCCGCUAAUGUUUGAGUGUUAUCGGUACACGCUAAAUCAUCCAUGAGUGCACACGCACACUACAAUAAUGCCUUACGGAUUGCUCGCACCAAACAUUGGUGGGGCGCGUCUUUGUGGAUGAAACAAUCUAUAUGGACUAUGGAUGCAAGCGUCACCCGGAAUCCUCAACCACAGAGGAACUGGCUAUCUUACCUCCAACUGCCGGAACACAACAAUGCUGUUAACAUUGUUAUGGCGACAGACUUAAGUAAGAUGGUGGUAGCUAGCCAGGCGGACUUAGAACAAGCCCUAAAUAAAAUAUGUUUUUUUUUAUUUUUUAACCCGGAAAGGGAUCGUAACCGUAUCAACUCGAGGCGGUCAGUAUUCUUUGUAUGAAACUCCAUACUGCAACGCACACUUAUCGGGACCGUAACGUAAACGCCUCGCCUCGCGGUUGACAGUGCGCGAAAGGCGAUACGUUGUUGAUCCCUUUCCGAGUUGAUAAGUCUGCUAUGACCUUUGUAUACUCUAUUUAAAAAUUAUAGAAAGUAAACUGUUUUUUAACGCCAUGGUUGAUUGACAGAGAAGGCGUGUGCAUUAAGUCCGCCAGUUGUACUUCUGUGCAAUAAUAUAUAAAAUAAAAUUAUAAGCAAUAAAUUUUACUAAUAGAAAACUGUGUUUGCAAAGGUAGAUAAUUUUUUAGAACGCAAUUCUUGCCAGAUUUAAAAUAGAAUAUUUUUUAUGCAAUUUUAUAAAAUGUGACAUACGUGUAGACUAGUAUUAGGUACUUAUUAUGCAGGUGAAUGAAUUAUGGCAACACUGUUGAAUUAUUAUUUUUCUACAUGGCAAUAAUCGGUAUGUUUUAAGGUUGUGAAUGAAUUUGUUUGUAAAUUGGUACUUUAUGGAGUUUAAUCGUUUUCUAUGUAUUUAACCUGAUUUAAUUUUCGGUUUUCCGUAAAUGGUCGAAUCAGAAAUAAGCAUAGGUAUUACGCUUAACUGAAUGGCGGUUAUCACACUGCGCCGCGCUCCGCCGCGGAGCGCGUGAUUUUCAUAUAAAAAAUCCCGCGCGCGGACGCGUUGUCAGUGUGAAGUGCCGCGCGUGUUUUCUAUACAAACUGAGGUACUUGCAUACAAUGAUUAAAUCUGUCGCCCCGCGCUCCGCGGCGGAGAGCGGCGCAGUGUGAUAACCGCCAAUCAGUGCCUGGAAGUAUGGAAGCGGCACGGGAGGGUGUUGUGGUGUCAAAUGUCAGCGAGACUUCAGACGUGCUUCAGACUUGUAUGCUUUUUCACGUCAUGUCACCCCUCCCGUGCCGCUUCCAUACCUCAGGACUGAGUUAUGCCAGAGUAAAUUCAAAUGAGUAGGUCAUCUUCAUAGAAACGCCCGAGCGUGGUUUGUAUGUGAGCGCGCCAAUACGUAUGCGGCGCGCACGCACACACUGACAUAAUUUAGCGUGGAUUAGUGGUGAGGUCAGAGGUGAGCUGAAUUUUGUCAGUGUGUGCGUGCGUAUAAUAGUGGCAUCUUAUUAAACUGUAAUAGGUGCUAUUUUCCGACAAAAAAUGUGUAAUAAUAUGACUACUAUAAAUUCAUAAAGUUUUUCACAAUUAAACUUCUUUAAUUGGAUAAAUUAAAACGGACUCCGUUUUAAAUAUUUUUAUUCAACAAGCUGGUCACAGUCACAUGUCAAGAAUAGGCUAGAUGACAAAAUUUCAAUUAUUCAUCCGUCAGACAGAUAAUUAGAAAAUAUUAGCCUCAUAUUUUUUAUUUUCUUUCAUAAUUAAAUAAUAACAGUGCUACAUCGAGUUGAAAUGGUGCGAUACGUCACGCUUGAGUAUGUGUCCAAAAUUUUUUUAUUAUCUGUCUGACGGACUAAAUAGAAUUUCGAUUGUAUUACCCAGUCAUCAUCCCUAUUCAAGAUGUGUUACAUACACACAUAUUAUGUGCAAAUGUUUUCCAAAAGGUUGACAAUGAUUUUUCCAAUUUUUUUGUAAUUUUUUGCACAUAAUGGACUACUAAAUCAAAAAUCUUUACAGGUGUAAUUUUUUUUGUCAGUUACUGACUAUUUUGUAUUAUUUAGUUAAUUACCAUUGGGUAUUGAGACAAAUAACUCUUUAUUGUACAUAUAUUUUAAGUUUAAAUUUGAUUUUGAAUUCGGUGUGUAUGUUAAGUAAAUCAUUCCAAUUUA